This is a long non-coding RNA of Symphalangus syndactylus (siamang), 523 nucleotides long. RefSeq lists it as uncharacterized. Lineage: Eukaryota; Metazoa; Chordata; Mammalia; Primates; Hylobatidae. The record is from RefSeq and is a predicted model, not a curated record.
GUUUGUGGUGAAUGCAUCAGUGGGAGGAAGAAAGGCAUGAAAUGAAGAAUCAACAUGAUUGUGGUGCCUGGAGCCAGAGAGUUAGCUGCUGGUUCCAGCUCUGGUAUUAACUGAGGGUGUGAUCUGAGUGGUUGGCAAUAACGGAUGUGGCUAGAAAUGGCCAGCUCUAAUCUCCUAACUGCAUCUAUAACAGCAGACCCUGUAGGCAAGCAAAAUGUGGGGCAGGACUUCCUACGGGCCUCCUUGAGAUGGUAUGCAUUUCAAAGCAGCAGUUGUGUAACUUUUAUGGCUACAAUCUUAGUACCCCCAGAGGAGAAAGCUGAAGCACCAGAUGGUUAAAAGGACUGUUCAAGACAGCCCUGCAAUUUUGACCAAGGAAGAAAGCUGAAGGGUGCUAGGGCAAGAGAGGAACUAUGUCCAGGACAAUUCAUAAUUCCAAAUUCUCACUUCCAUGAUUUCAAUGCUGAAUGUGUACUUCUCUAGCUAAAAAUACAAUUGCUUAAGUAAAAUCAUCAUUAUUUAC